RNAcentral lists this ribosomal RNA (254 nucleotides) under uncultured bacterium. Its description in RNAcentral is "partial 16S ribosomal RNA". It matches the Rfam family "Bacterial small subunit ribosomal RNA", at positions 524 to 776 of the family's 1533-position model. The record is from RNAcentral.
UACGAAGGGGGGCUAGCGUUGCUCGGAAUCACUGGGCGUAAAGCGCACGUAGGCGGCUUUUUAAGUCAGAGGUGAAAUCCUGGAGCUCAACUCCAGAACUGCCUUUGAUACUGGAGAGCUUGAGUCCGGGAGAGGUGAGUGGAACUGCGAGUGUAGAGGUGAAAUUCGUAGAUAUUCGCAAGAACACCAGUGGCGAAGGCGGCUCACUGGCCCGGUACUGACGCUGAGGUGCGAAAGCGUGGGGAGCAAACAGG